Molecule: ribosomal RNA, 253 nt
Filed under: uncultured bacterium
Lineage: Bacteria
Description: partial 16S ribosomal RNA
Rfam family: Bacterial small subunit ribosomal RNA
Source: RNAcentral
GACAGAGGGUGCAAACGUUGUUCGGAUUUACUGGGCGUAAAGCGCGUGUAGGCGGCUUUGCAAGUCGGAUGUGAAAGCCCACGGCUCAACCGUGGAAGUGCAUCCGAAACUGCAUGGCUUGAGUCUCGGAGAGGAAGGUGGAAUGCUUGGUGUAGAGGUGAAAUUCGUAGAUAUCAAGCAGAACACCUGCGGCGAAGGCGGCCUUCUGGACGAUGACUGACGCUGAGACGCGAAAGCGUGGGGGGCAAACAGG